GCCCGGAUAGCUCAGUCGGUAGAGCAGAGGAUUGAAAAUCCUCGUGUCGGCGGUUCGAUUCCGUCUCCGGGCACCA
RNAcentral lists this transfer RNA (76 nucleotides) under Pseudomonas sp. RNAcentral's name for it is "tRNA-Phe". It matches the Rfam family "tRNA". From Rfam's summary of the family: Transfer RNA (tRNA) molecules are approximately 80 nucleotides in length. Their secondary structure includes four short double-helical elements and three loops (D, anti-codon, and T loops). RNAcentral also lists the same sequence under 32 other names. Lineage: Bacteria; Pseudomonadati; Pseudomonadota; Gammaproteobacteria; Pseudomonadales; Pseudomonadaceae. The record is from RNAcentral.